UCCUCAGAGAGUUGAGACGAGGAGCAUCAGUUGAACAUGUGUGUCACAGAAUCCACAGGACAUUAGCUAGCCAGUUCAAGUACGCACUUGUCUGGG
Sinocyclocheilus rhinocerous is the source of this 96-nucleotide long non-coding RNA. RefSeq lists it as uncharacterized. The transcript is spliced from 2 exons. The record is from RefSeq and is a predicted model, not a curated record. NCBI's taxonomy places the organism in Eukaryota, Metazoa, Chordata, Actinopteri, Cypriniformes, Cyprinidae.